This 465-nucleotide ribosomal RNA is filed under the name uncultured bacterium. Its description in RNAcentral is "partial 16S ribosomal RNA". It matches the Rfam family "Bacterial small subunit ribosomal RNA", at positions 338 to 795 of the family's 1533-position model. The record is from RNAcentral.
CCUACGGGAGGCAGCAGUGGGGAAUAUUGCGCAAUGGGCGAAAGCCUGACGCAGCGACGCCGCGUGAGGGAUGAAGGUCUUCGGAUCGUAAACCUCUGUCAGCAGGGAAGAACGGUCGCUGUGCUAAUCAGCAGUGAAUUGACGGUACCUGCAAAGGAAGCACCGGCUAACUCCGUGCCAGCAGCCGCGGUAAUACGGAGGGUGCGAGCGUUAAUCGGAAUUUCUGGGCGGAAAGCGCUCGUAGGCGGUAUGUCAAGUCAAGGGGGAAAUCCCCGCGCUCAACGUGGGAACUGACUUUGAAACUGGCAAACUGGAGUGUGUGAGAGGAGAGUGGAAUUCCAGGUGUAGGAGUGAAAUCCGUAGAUAUCUGGAGGAACAUCAGUGGCGAAGGCGACUAUCUGGCACAUAACUGACGCUGAGGAGCGAAAGCGUGGGUAGCAAACAGGAUGAGAUACCCUUGUAGUC